UCCAAAAAUACAGUGAUGUUACCUUUUCCAAGCACAUAACUGAUUACUCUGUGUGGAAAAUGACUGUUCUGAGUGAUUUUGGA
This 83-nucleotide small nucleolar RNA is filed under the name Tinamus guttatus (white-throated tinamou). RNAcentral describes it as "Small nucleolar RNA SNORD121A". It matches the Rfam family "Small nucleolar RNA SNORD121A". Lineage: Eukaryota; Metazoa; Chordata; Aves; Tinamiformes; Tinamidae. The record is from Rfam by way of RNAcentral.